AGUACGAUCGCAAGAUUAAAACUCAAAGGAAUUGACGGGGCCCCGCACAAGCAGCGGAGCAUGCGGCUUAAUUCGACGCAACGCGAAGAACCUUACCAAGGCUUGACAUAUAGCGAAAAGUGGCAGAGAUGUCAUGUCCGCAAGGGCGCUAUACAGGUGGUGCAUGGUUGUCGUCAGCUCGUGUCGUGAGAUGUUGGGUUAAGUCCCGCAACGAGCGCAACCCUCGUUCUGUGUUACCAGCAUUAAGUUGGGGACUCACAGGAGACUGCCGGGGUCAACUCGGAGGAAGGUGGGGAUGACGUCAAAUCAUCAUGCCCCUUAUGUCUUGGGCUGCACGCAUGCUACAAUGGCCGGUACAAAGUGCUGCGAAAUCGUAAGAUUUAGCGAAUCACAUAAAGCCGGUCUCAGUUCGGAUUGAGGUCUGCAACUCGACCUCAUGAAGUCGGAGUUGCUAGUAAUCGUAGAUCAGCAACGCUACGGUGAAUACGUUCCCGGGGCUUGUACACACCGCCCGUCACGUCACGAAAGUCGGUAACACCCAAAGUUAGUGGCCCAACCGCAAGGGGGGAGCUACCUAAGGUGGGAUCGGUGAUUGGGACG
This 600-nucleotide ribosomal RNA is filed under the name uncultured bacterium. RNAcentral describes it as "bacterial SSU rRNA". It matches the Rfam family "Bacterial small subunit ribosomal RNA", at positions 879 to 1482 of the family's 1533-position model. The record is from RNAcentral.